Molecule: ribosomal RNA, 497 nt
Filed under: uncultured bacterium
Lineage: Bacteria
Description: partial 16S ribosomal RNA
Rfam family: Bacterial small subunit ribosomal RNA
Source: RNAcentral
GAUGAACGCUGGCGGCGUGCCUAAUACAUGCAAGUCGAGCGAACGGACGAGAAGCUUGCUUCUCUGAUGUUAGCGGCGGACGGGUGAGUAACACGUGGAUAACCUACCUAUAAGACUGGGAUAACUUCGGGAAACCGGAGCUAAUACCGGAUAAUAUUAUGAACCGCAUGGUUCAAAAGUGAAAGACGGUCUUGCUGUCACUUAUAGAUGGAUCCGCGCUGCAUUAGCUAGUUGGUAAGGUAACGGCUUACCAAGGCAACGAUGCAUAGCCGACCUGAGAGGGUGAUCGGCCACACUGGAACUGAGACACGGUCCAGACUCCUACGGGAGGCAGCAGUAGGGAAUCUUCCGCAAUGGGCGAAAGCCUGACGGAGCAACGCCGCGUGAGUGAUGAAGGUCUUCGGAUCGUAAAACUCUGUUAUUAGGGAAGAACAUAUGUGUAAGUAACUGUGCACAUCUUGACGAUACCUAAUCAGAAAGCCACGGCUAACUACGUG